UAAUGUAUGGGGAUCUGCCCGGAUAGAGGGGGAUAACUACUGGAAACGGUGGCUAAUACCGCAUAAUGUCUACGGACCAAAGCAGGGGCUCUUCGGACCUUGCACUAUCGGAUGAACCCAUAUGGGAUUAGCUAGUAGGUGGGGUAAAGGCUCACCUAGGCGACGAUCUCUAGCUGGUCUGAGAGGAUGAUCAGCCACACUGGGACUGAGACACGGCCCAG
Molecule: ribosomal RNA, 221 nt
Filed under: uncultured bacterium
Lineage: Bacteria
Description: partial 16S ribosomal RNA
Rfam family: Bacterial small subunit ribosomal RNA
Source: RNAcentral